Molecule: ribosomal RNA, 253 nt
Filed under: uncultured bacterium
Lineage: Bacteria
Description: partial 16S ribosomal RNA
Rfam family: Bacterial small subunit ribosomal RNA
Source: RNAcentral
UACGUAGGCAGCGAGCGUUGUUCGGAGUUACUGGGCGUAAAGAGUGCGUAGGCGGUUUUCUAAGUUUGGUGUGAAAUCUCCCGGCUUAACUGGGAGGGUGCGCCGAAGACUGGAAGGCUAGAGUAUGGGAGAGGUAAGCGGAAUUCCCGGUGUAGCGGUGAAAUGCGUAGAGAUCGGGAGGAAGGCCGGUGGCGAAGGCGGCGCUCUGGAACAUACCUGACGCUGAGACACGAAAGCGUGGGGAGCAAACAGG